RNAcentral lists this ribosomal RNA (444 nucleotides) under Triticum aestivum (bread wheat). RNAcentral's name for it is "partial small subunit ribosomal RNA". The record is from RNAcentral. Lineage: Eukaryota; Viridiplantae; Streptophyta; Magnoliopsida; Poales; Poaceae.
AUGGUCGCCGCAAUGGCCAACUUCCUCGACUACGGCAUCUACGACCUCAAGCUCACGAUGGUCAAGAAUAACACCGAAUUGCGGAAGCUCUUCAUCGAGACCACAGGCAAGUCCAUCAUCGUCAUAGAGGACAUUGACUGCUUUGUCAACCUCACCGGAAAACGCCGAAAGGACAAGAAGACCGCAAGCGACAAGGACGCCAACAAUGAUGACAAGCCCGAGCUACCCGUGGAGCCGAAGAAGGAUGAUGUCACCAAGGUGACGCUCUCAGGCCUGCUUAACUUCAUCGACGGGCAGUGGUCUUCUUGCGGAGGUGAGCGGAUCAUCAUCUUCACCACCAACCACAAGGAGAAGCUGGACUCGGUGUUGAUCCGGAGGGGUAGAGUGACAAGCACAUCAAGAUGUCCUACUACCGAUUCGAGGGCUUCAAGGUGCUCGCCAUAA